AUUAGAUACCCUGGGUAGUCCACGCCGUAAACGAUGAAUACUAGGUGUUGGGGAACAAUAGUUCUUCGGUGCCGCAGCAAACGCAUUAAGUAUUCCACCUGGGGAGUACGUUCGCAAGAAUGAAACUCAAAGGAAUUGACGGGGACCCGCACAAGCGGUGGAGCAUGUGGAUUAAUUCGACGCAACGCGAAGAACCUUACCUGGUCUUGACAUCCCUAUGACCGGACAGUAAUGUGUCCUUUCCUUCGGGACAGAGGAGACAGGUGGUGCAUGGUUGUCGUCAGCUCGUGUCGUGAGAUGUUGGGUUAAGUCCCGCAACGAGCGCAACCCUUACCUUUAGUAGCCAGCGGAAAAGCCGGGCACUCUAGAGGGACUGCCAGGGAUAACCUGGAGGAAGGUGGGGAUGACGUCAAAUCAUCAUGCCCCUUAUGACCAGGGCUUCACACGUGCUACAAUGGCGUAAACAAAGAGAAGCGACGCCGUGAGGCCAAGCAAAUCUCAAAAAUAACGUCUCAGUUCGGAUUGUAGUCUGCAACUCGACUACAUGAAGCUGGAAUCGCUAGUAAUCGCAAAUCAGAAUGUUGCGGUGAAUACGUUCCCGGGUCUUGUACACACCGCCCGUCACACCAUGGGAGUUGGAUAUGCCCGAAGUCAGUGACCCAACCGAAAGGAGGGAGCUGCCGAAGGUGGAGCCGAUGACUGGGGUGAAGUCGUAACAAGGUACC
Molecule: ribosomal RNA, 725 nt
Filed under: uncultured bacterium
Lineage: Bacteria
Description: bacterial SSU rRNA
Rfam family: Bacterial small subunit ribosomal RNA
Source: RNAcentral